Molecule: ribosomal RNA, 728 nt
Filed under: uncultured eukaryote
Lineage: Eukaryota
Description: SSU rRNA
Rfam family: Eukaryotic small subunit ribosomal RNA
Source: RNAcentral
GGCCAUGUUGGUUAACAGAUCCUCAUCUGCUGGACGUCUGGCGAUGAUCUUUAUCGGUUGUCGUCAGUUGCCAGCACGUUUACUUUGAGAAAAUUAGAGUGCUAAAAGCAGGCUCACGCCUAUAUAUAUUGCAUGGAAUAAUGAAAUAAGACCUCGAUUUUAUUUCGUUGGUUUUAGAAAUUGAGAUAAUGAUUAAUAGGAUCAGAGGGGGGCGUACGUACUGUGGUGUGAGAGGUGAAAUUCUUGGAUCGCCACAGGACGAACAGCAGCGAAGGCGUUCGCCAAGAAUGUUUUCAUUAAUCAAGAACGAAAGUUUGAGGUUCGAAGACGAUUAGAUACCGUCCUAGUUCAAACCAUAAACGUUGCCAACUGUCUUUUAGAUGCGGUUAUUUAUAUGACUCAUCUGGCGGAUCUCGAGAAAUCUAAGUUUUUAGGUUCCGGGGGAAGUAUGGUUGCAAAGCUGAAACUUAAAAGAAUUGACGGAAGGACACACAAGAAGUGGAGCCUGUGGCCUAAUUUGACUCAACACGGGAAACCUUACUCGGCCAGGACACUUUUAGGAUUGACAGAUUGAGAGCUCUUUCUUGAUUAGGUGGGUGGUGGUGCAUGGUCGUUCGUAGUUCGUGGAGCGAUUUGUCUGAUUAAUUUCGAUAACGAACGAGACUCCGGCUUACUAAAUAGUCUAAAGUUCGAAGGGACUUUUCAAGACUUCUUAGCAGGAUAAGUGG